Oncorhynchus keta (chum salmon) is the source of this 517-nucleotide long non-coding RNA. RefSeq lists it as uncharacterized. Lineage: Eukaryota; Metazoa; Chordata; Actinopteri; Salmoniformes; Salmonidae. The record is from RefSeq and is a predicted model, not a curated record. The transcript has 3 exons.
GACACCGGGCCCAGGUGUGUCUGCAUGGAGAGAGUCUCCUCCAUGAAUGGGGAAGUGGUGUAUUUAUCCUGGGAGACACCGGGCCCAGGUGUGUCUGCAUGGAGAGAGUCUCCUCCAUGAAUGGGGAAGUGGUGUAUUUAUCCUGGGAGACACCGGGCCCAGGUGUGUCUGCAUGGAGAGAGUCUCCUCCAUGAAUGGGGAAGUGGUGUAUUUAUCCUGGGAGACACCGGGCCCAGGUGUGUCUGCAUGGAGAGAGUCUCCUCCAUGAAUGGGGAAGAGGUCUAUUUAUCCUGGGAGACACCGGGCCCAGGUGUGUCUGCAUGGAGAGAGUCUCCUCCAUGAAUGGGGAAGAGGUCUAUUUAUCCUGGGAGACACCGGGCCCAGGUGUGUCUGCAUGGAGAGAGUCUCCUCCAUGAAUGGGGAAGUGGUGUAUUUAUCCUGGGAGACACCGGGCCCAGGUGUGUCUGCAUGGAGAGAGUCUCCUCCAUGAAUGGGGAAGUGGUGUAUUUAUCCUGGG